GGGGUUGUGGCUCAGCAGUAGAGCACUCACCUAGCACGUGAGAGGCCCUGGGUUCAAUCCUCAGCACCA
This 69-nucleotide transfer RNA is filed under the name Ictidomys tridecemlineatus (thirteen-lined ground squirrel). RNAcentral describes it as "Spermophilus tridecemlineatus (thirteen-lined ground squirrel) tRNA". It matches the Rfam family "tRNA". From Rfam's summary of the family: Transfer RNA (tRNA) molecules are approximately 80 nucleotides in length. The record is from Rfam by way of RNAcentral. Lineage: Eukaryota; Metazoa; Chordata; Mammalia; Rodentia; Sciuridae.